RNAcentral lists this long non-coding RNA (391 nucleotides) under Penaeus japonicus. RNAcentral's name for it is "uncharacterized LOC122245201". Lineage: Eukaryota; Metazoa; Arthropoda; Malacostraca; Decapoda; Penaeidae. The record is from RNAcentral.
GCGCUGCCGUCAGUGCCGCGGCUAAGAGAGGUGGUCGCUGCCCCUCCCUCCCCGCCAUACCUGUCCCUGCCCCUCCCUUGUCCAGCCCGCCGACGGUGCUGAGUGCGUGCGUGUGUGACCUUGAUGUUUUAAGGGUGAACAUGUAUACCAAGUGACCAAAGGGAAGGAACAAUGAUAAAUGAAUAAACAUGGAAUAGUGAUACAAUUGAGUAACUAAGAGAGAAAAAAAAAAUCGAUAUACAUUUUCUUCAUCGCUCAAUGGCUAUCGAUAUACGAUACGCGAUGAGGACGAAACAAGACACUUAGGAAGAAAAGGUUCAACUUGAAGAAAAGAAAAGAGAAAGAAAAGAAAAGAAAAAAAAAGAUACAUAAGAGUCGUGCAGCUUUGAAA